RNAcentral lists this long non-coding RNA (207 nucleotides) under Mytilus galloprovincialis (Mediterranean mussel). The record is from RNAcentral. Lineage: Eukaryota; Metazoa; Mollusca; Bivalvia; Mytilida; Mytilidae.
CGUAUAUAUAACAGUUGGUCCGAGACCACCAUUGUCGUCCCUUGACAAAUAUAGUCCCUAGUGUUAACAGUGGGUUACUUGCCAUUAAUUUUUAUACCCCUUCCAAAUUUAUUUCUCCAUGUUUAAUGCCUCAAAUUGCAAGUUGGGGAUAAAACUACACUGUAAAAAUAUUUGGGUCCAGAAUUUUAAAGAAAAGUAGUGAUUUGG